RNAcentral lists this ribosomal RNA (372 nucleotides) under Triticum aestivum (bread wheat). RNAcentral's name for it is "partial small subunit ribosomal RNA". Lineage: Eukaryota; Viridiplantae; Streptophyta; Magnoliopsida; Poales; Poaceae. The record is from RNAcentral.
AUGCCCGAGAGCAUUAUUGAUGGUUAUUUUGUUAUGCCUAUUGCUUACUGUGAUGAUUAUGAUUGGGUAGAUAAUGAUACUUAUAAUCUUGGAAAACUUUUUAGCAUCAACUUGGGAAAUUAUGAUGAUAGCAACUGUUAUACCGUUGGUGCUAUUCAUACUAUUAAUGAUGAGAGUGAUUAUGCUUAUGAUAUGCCAAGCCACAAACUUGGGGAUGCUAUGUUUGAUGAUAAUGACAUGUUUAAGAAUUUAUUUGCUGCAAUUAAUGUUUGUCCUAAUCUUGGGGAGGCUAUGCUUAAUGAAGAUGAUCUUCUUAGUCCCCUUACUUUGAAUGAUCAAAUUUGCUAUGAUGAUUGCAUGCCUCCCACUUAG